Molecule: long non-coding RNA, 217 nt
Filed under: Homo sapiens (human)
Lineage: Eukaryota; Metazoa; Chordata; Mammalia; Primates; Hominidae
Description: non-protein coding lnc-TP53TG3-45:2
Source: RNAcentral
GACCAGCUCAAGAAGUGAGCUGCUGUUGACGGAGGCAAGUUGGAUGUCGGGAAUGCUGAGGUGAAGUUGGAGGAAGAGAACAGGAGCCUGAAGGCUGAGCUGCAGAAGCUAAAGGAUGAGCUGGCCAGCACUAAGCAAAAACUAGAGAAAGCUGAAAACCAGGUUCUGGCCAUGCGGAAGCAGUCUGAGGGCCUCACCAAGGAGUACGACCGCUUGC